UAGGGAAUCUUCCACAAUGGACGCAAGUCUGAUGGAGCAACGCCGCGUGAGUGAAGAAAGGGUUUCGGCUCGUAAAGCUCUGUUGUUAAGAAGAACGUGGGUAAGAGUAACUGUUUACCCAGUGACGGUAUUUAACCAGAAAGCCACGGCUAACUACGUGCCAA
RNAcentral lists this ribosomal RNA (164 nucleotides) under uncultured bacterium. RNAcentral's name for it is "partial 16S rRNA". It matches the Rfam family "Bacterial small subunit ribosomal RNA", at positions 355 to 511 of the family's 1533-position model. The record is from RNAcentral.